AGCGAACGCUGGCGGCAGGCUUAACACAUGCAAGUCGAACGGAUCCUUCGGGAUUAGUGGCGGACGGGUGAGUAACACGUGGGAACGUGCCUUUUGGUUCGGAACAACACAGGGAAACUUGUGCUAAUACCGGAUGUGCCCUUCGGGGAAGGAUUAUCGCCAUUAGAGCGGCCCGCGUCUGAUUAGCUAGUUGGUGAGGUAAAGGCUCACCAAGGCUACGAUCAGUAGCUGGUCNGAGAGGAUGAUCAGCCACACUGGGACUGAGACACGGCCCAGACUCCUACGGGAGGCAGCAGUGGGGAAUCUUGCGCAAUGGGGGAAACCCGUGACGCAGCCAUGCCGCGUGAAUUAUGAAGGUCUUA
Molecule: ribosomal RNA, 362 nt
Filed under: uncultured bacterium
Lineage: Bacteria
Description: bacterial SSU rRNA
Rfam family: Bacterial small subunit ribosomal RNA
Source: RNAcentral